This is a long non-coding RNA of Oncorhynchus tshawytscha (Chinook salmon), 586 nucleotides long. Lineage: Eukaryota; Metazoa; Chordata; Actinopteri; Salmoniformes; Salmonidae. The record is from Ensembl.
UGAUUCUCCAAUUCAAAUCCCCGAUUAGCAAAACUCAUGCGUAGAAGCAAGUCAUCGGGUCAUCUUGCGCCGAAUUGCGCAUGUACAGGCAUUCAAAUCAACGGCAGUCUUUCGAUAUAAACGUGUUUUUGACGAAAAUUAAAACGUGUCAGUUUAUCACUUUCACGAGGUUGGCGUAGUAACAUGUUCAACUACUUAGGAAACUAGCUCGAAUCUAGGUUUUGUCUUUUGGUUUCGAGAAAAUUAACAACUGAGGUUGUCAGACACCAGUCUACAUCUGGGUAGAGAAACAUCCCAUACAUUCUGAAGUAUGUGCUGUACUUGGCUUCUAUUUUGAACAUCUACUUGUGAUUUCUGUCUGGUUGACAUCCAUCGGCAAGCUUCGUUGACUUAAGGUAGACCAGAAAAGCCACAUCCCAGAAGGGCAGAUGAGCAGCAACGCUGACUAGAAGCACCCGCUGCUGUUACUUUACAAAUGUUUUGAAUUAAAAUAAACGUGUAUCUACACACUGAAGAAGGCUGUAAAGCCGGAAAAUCUGUACACUAUCCCUGAUGCAGUAAAAAUAAUUAAACAUAAAAUGAUGAA